CUGGGGCGGUCUCCUCCUAAAGAGUAACGGAGGAGCACGAAGGUUGGCUAAUCCUGGUCGGACAUCAGGAGGUUAGUGCAAUGGCAUAAGCCAGCUUGACUGCGAGCGUGACGGCGCGAGCAGGUGCGAAAGCAGGUCAUAGUGAUCCGGUGGUUCUGAAUGGAAGGGCCAUCGCUCAACGGAUAAAAGGUACUCCGGGGAUAACAGGCUGAUACCGCCCAAGAGUUCAUAUCGACGGCGGUGUUUGGCACCUCGAUGUCGGCUCAUCACAUCCUGGGGCUGAAGUAGGUCCCAAGGGUAUGGCUGUUCGCCAUUUAAAGUGGUACGCGAGCUGGGUUUAGAACGUCGUGAGACAGUUCGGUCCCUAUCUGCCGUGGGCGCUGGAGAACUGAGGGGGGCUGCUCCUAGUACGAGAGGACCGGAGUGGACGCAUCACUGGUGUUCGGGUUGUCAUGCCAAUGGCACUGCCCGGUAGCUAAAUGCGGAAGAGAUAAGUGCUGAAAGCAUCUAAGCACGAAACUUGCCCCGAGAUGAGUUCUCCCUGACUCCUUGAGAGUCCUGAAGGAACGUUGAAGACGACGACGUUGAUAGGCCGGGUGUGUAAGCGCAGCGAUGCGUUGAGCUAACCGGUACUAAUGAACCGUGAGG
Molecule: ribosomal RNA, 648 nt
Filed under: Escherichia coli
Lineage: Bacteria; Pseudomonadati; Pseudomonadota; Gammaproteobacteria; Enterobacterales; Enterobacteriaceae
Description: partial 23S ribosomal RNA
Rfam family: Bacterial large subunit ribosomal RNA
Source: RNAcentral